Oncorhynchus tshawytscha (Chinook salmon) is the source of this 393-nucleotide long non-coding RNA. NCBI's taxonomy places the organism in Eukaryota, Metazoa, Chordata, Actinopteri, Salmoniformes, Salmonidae. The record is from Ensembl.
GUUUCCAUCACCCCCUUAGUGGCCAACCCAGACCCUGCACUUCUGAAGAGCCUGCAGACUCAGACUGACAGUCUGGAGAGGGCUCGUCUCAGACAGCUCCACUCUCAGGAGGACCGCAUAGCCAAGGAGGCUAAGAGCCAGGGCCGUGCGGUACAUAUUGACGCCCCUGACGACGAACGCUCCAAUCGCCAGACUUGAGGCAGGAAGAGCAGGAACUGAGAGAACCUGUCAAUCUUACAAUCAUUUAUGUAUAAAUGAAGGUGUAAAUAUGAUCUAGUGGACCCUGAGUCAUCAAAGUCUAAGCUAGCCAAUAGUCAUCAGUGUUGAAUAAUACAGUCGUCAUGAACCCUUCGCGGAACUCUUAAUCAAAACAACAAUCCUGGGAUUCUUGGG